AUCAAAUUCACAAUGACUGGACAACACUAAUAUAAAAGACAGAAAGAAGGAAAACUAAAGAAAUAGUAUGUAUGAAACAGCAUGCUGAGUUCUGAUCUGAAUUCAGUUUGGCAGUUUAUUCUGAUGUCAGAGAAAAGGCCUAAUAGGAGCAGAAACUUGCAACCAAAUGAUCCAUUAUUAUUCCUCUGCAGAGUACACAUUUCAUACAUUUUUAUAAUGCGGAUAUUAACGUCUGUGCGCAUAAAUCUCAGCCUGAUAUUCAUAUUUUUUCUUACGUCAGCUCGGCGGUUGCGGUUGUGGUUGUGGCAGCCGCUGUCAGCCCAGAGAUGUCAAAGUCACAGUGACAUCAGUCUGAGAUGACUGCUGGGCAGAGGUCUGUGAAACAGCAGCAGAGGUGAUCAUUUAGCAAUGACAUGUCACCAUAAUAAGAGAAAAACGGCACAGAUUAUCACUUCAGCACAUGGCGGCGAGAGGUCGGCUGUAGCAACAAGCCAGCAGGCGGCAAAGUCCUGCAGAAUCAAGGUCUCUGCUUCUGUUUCUCUAAGUGUAAGCAGCAAAGUCUGGAGCGUGGGUACGUGAAAAUAACUGCACUUCCUUGAGUGUCCACUAGAGGCUGAAUCAAAUCACUGUCAGACUUCCUGCUAAAA
Molecule: non-coding RNA, 647 nt
Organism: Xyrichtys novacula (pearly razorfish)
Lineage: Eukaryota; Metazoa; Chordata; Actinopteri; Labriformes; Labridae
Source: the annotation of a GenBank genome assembly